RNAcentral lists this transfer RNA (76 nucleotides) under Candidatus Cacconaster equifaecalis. RNAcentral's name for it is "tRNA-Met". It matches the Rfam family "tRNA". From Rfam's summary of the family: Transfer RNA (tRNA) molecules are approximately 80 nucleotides in length. Their secondary structure includes four short double-helical elements and three loops (D, anti-codon, and T loops). Further hydrogen bonds mediate the characteristic L-shaped molecular structure. tRNAs have two regions of fundamental functional importance: the anti-codon, which is responsible for specific mRNA codon recognition, and the 3' end, to which the tRNAs corresponding amino acid is attached (by aminoacyl-tRNA synthetases). tRNAs cope with the degeneracy of the genetic code in two manners: having more than one tRNA (with a specific anti-codon) for a particular amino acid; and 'wobble' base-pairing, i.e. permitting non-standard base-pairing at the 3rd anti-codon position. Lineage: Bacteria; Pseudomonadati; Bacteroidota; Bacteroidia; Bacteroidales. The record is from RNAcentral.
CGCGGGGUAGAGCAGUUUGUAGCUCGUCGGGCUCAUAACCCGGAGGUCGUUGGUUCAAGUCCAGCCCCCGCAACCA